Molecule: ribosomal RNA, 497 nt
Filed under: uncultured bacterium
Lineage: Bacteria
Description: partial 16S ribosomal RNA
Rfam family: Bacterial small subunit ribosomal RNA
Source: RNAcentral
GAUGAACGCUGGCGGCGUGCCUAAUACAUGCAAGUCGAACGAACAGAUGAGGAGCUUGCUCCUCAGACGUUAGCGGCGGACGGGUGAGUAACACGUGGAUAACCUACCUAUAAGACUGGGAUAACUUCGGGAAACCGGAUCUAAUACCGGAUAAUAUAUUGAACCGCAUGGUUCAAUAGUGAAAGACGGUUUUGCUGUCACGUAUAGAUGGAUCCUCACGGCAUUAGCUAGUUGGUAAGGUAACGGCUUACCAAGGCAACGAUGCGUAGCCGACCUGAGAGGGUGAUCGGCCGCACUGGAAAGGAGACACGGUCCAGACCCCUACGGGAGGCAGCAGUAGGGAAUCUUCCGCAAUGGGCGAAAGCCUGACGGAGCAAAGCCGCGUGAGUGAGGAAGGUCCUCGGAGCGUAAAACUAUGUUAUUAGGGAAGAACAAAUGUGUAAGUAACUAUGCACAUCUUGACGGUAGCUAAACAGAAAGCCACGGCUAACUACGUG